Molecule: non-coding RNA, 965 nt
Organism: Arachis ipaensis
Lineage: Eukaryota; Viridiplantae; Streptophyta; Magnoliopsida; Fabales; Fabaceae
Source: RefSeq, a predicted model, not a curated record
AUUUUGGUGCUUACGACGUCGUUUUGGUGCGGGAGGGCAGGAACGACUUUCCACGUGGCGUUGCAGACGGGGCACGUGUUGUUGCUGCUGACGUGGCCGGCGAUGCAGGGGAAGUGAAAAGCAUGACCGCAUUCCGCAGUGGAUAGCUUGAAGCUAGGGGAGCGUGGAGUAGAUGGAUUUGAUGUUGAAUCUGCGGUGUCUGAGACUGAGAGGAAGCUCAAUCUGACGCAGGUGGUUGGGGAUUGGCUUCGGUGUUGGUUAUGUAAAAUUGUGGAUUCUGGGUUACGGGUGCAGAACGCUCUUCUCCAACCACCCCCCAUUCUGGUUAUGUAAAAAUUUGUUAUAUUGUUCUAUCUCUAUAUGCCUAUCUUAUAACUCUUUGUUUAUUUACGUUUUAUUGAGAAGGAUUAGAACUUAGAAGAGAGAGAGAGAGACAAUUGGUUUCUUGAAUCAACAGGAAGGUGCCAUAGAAGAACAAUAAUGGAGUAUUUAGGAGAGGAGUGCCUACAUGGAUUUAUAUGCUGUACAUGCUAUACUAGCACGGUUAAAUCGGUCAAGUAUUCGAAAGAAGUAAUCGAAUGAGUUAUUUCGAAGAGAAGAUUGAGCGGUUAUGUGAGUGGAGAAAUUGAAGACAUUCACCAUGUGGAGAAUUUAUGAGUAAGCGUUUAAUUAGCCAAGGGGCGGGAACGGUUACCAAGGGCAAGGAGUGCGCAUUCAAGGUUGUGUUUCUUUAAUUAAUUGUCAGUUACAAGAGUGGAUUAUAAAUACUAAAAAGUUUUAGGGAAUAAAGGUUGGAACUUUAACUCAGAAAAUACUCAAGUACACUCACAUCCCCAGAGAAUUCCUGAGUCUGCGAUCGAGUUACUUUUUUAUAGGGUUCCUUCCAUGUUUUUACUCUUUCAAUUUAUUUUCUUGUAAACUUUAUUUUUCAAGCAAGUUUAUUUUCCAAGUAUCAUUUAAUUUCA